UGGGGAAUUUUGGACAAUGGGCGCAAGCCUGAUCCAGCCACGCCGCGUGCGGGAAGAAGGCCUUCGGGUUGUAAACCGCUUUUGUCAGGGAAGAAAUCUUCUGAGUUAAUACCUCGGGAGGAUGACGGUACCUGAAGAAUAAGCACCGGCUAACUACGUGCCAGCAGCCGCGGUAAUACGUAGGGUGCAAGCGUUAAUCGGAAUUACUGGGCGUAAAGCGUGCGCAGGCGGUUUUGUAAGACAGAGGUGAAAUCCCCGGGCUCAACCUGGGAACUGCCUUUGUGACUGCAAGGCUUGAGUGCGGCAGAGGGGGAUGGAAUUCCGCGUGUAGCAGUGAAAUGCGUAGAUAUGCGGAGGAACACCGAUGGCGAAGGCAAUCCCCUGGGCCUGCACUGACGCUCAUGCACGAAAGCGUGGGGAGCAAACAGGAUUAGAUACCCUGGUAGUCCACGCCCUAAACGAUGUCAACUGGUUGUUGGGAAGGUUCCUUCUCAGUAACGUAGCUAACGCGUGAAGUUGACCGCCUGGGGAGUACGGCCGCAAGGUUGAAACUCAAAUGAAUUGACGGGGUCAUAGCUGUUUCCUG
Molecule: ribosomal RNA, 586 nt
Filed under: uncultured bacterium
Lineage: Bacteria
Description: partial 16S ribosomal RNA
Rfam family: Bacterial small subunit ribosomal RNA
Source: RNAcentral